CUGUCAGGUACAUAGACAACCCGGCCAAAACAUAGAAAACAAAACGUAGAAAUAGAAAUCUAGAAAAAGCCCACAUAAACAGAAAACCCAAAACCACCAAAACAACCAUCUGUCACGCCCUGACCACUCUACUAUGGAAAAUGACCUCUUACAAGGGUCAGGACGUGACAGUGUAUGAAAGUAAUUAUUAUGAUGCUGUAUGUGAAGUCCAUGAACUUCCACCUGGCCUGUUGGAGGACUGAUAGUGAUCAGUUUCAGUAGUACAAUUGAAAUAACACUUCAGUGCUAACCUAACAGCUGUAGAUGGCCUCCACAGGAGUUGCUCAGAGGUAUUCUGUUGUUCUGCUUCAAUAAUCAGUCAGUCAACAACACAGUAUUUACAUAUCUACUUUAUCUCUGUUGUGAACACUGUCAAUCAGUGGUUACAUACUGUUAACACUGUCAAUCAGUGAUUACACAUUUUUAACACUGUCAAUCCCACAACACCAAUAUAGGGCUGCAAUGGAUUCAUGUAUUUAAUGUGUUCAGAAGCAUGUUUAUAUCGGAUUCAAGUGUAGCAUUGCAUUGGAAGUGCUGCAGUCCACCUCUGAGAUCCAGUCAUCCAUCACCUAAGAGUUGACACCUCCAGGCUCCAAGGCCAGGUAUGUCCCAGUAGGUAGCUGGUAGAUCUCAGGUCCAGGUAUGUCCCAGUAGGUAGCUGGUAGGUCUCAGUUCCAGGUAUGUCCCAGUAGGUAGCUGAUAGGUCUCAGGUCCAGGUUUGUCCCAGUAGGUAGCUGGUAGGUCUCAGUUCCAGGUUUGUCCCAGUAGGUAGCUGGUAGGUCUCACGUCCAGGUUUGUCCCAGUAGGUAGCUGGUAGGUCUCAGGUCCAGGUCUCCUGUAGUUUUACUCCCAGUCCUCCCAUCCUCUAUUUGUCUUGGCUCGUCUUGUUGCUUUGGAUCCUGUUUUGGUUCAGAGUAUCUCAGUGCAGGUGAGGUAGAUAUCCUGAGGAGAGGAAUAUUUGCAGAUCUUCCAGCUUUUUAAAUGUUUCUGCUGUUCUGGGACUGCUGACCAACUCAACACCUUCCUCCUCAUGGCCAGUCACCUAGAGUCAUGAAAUAUGUAGAUUAUACUCUCUCUGGAACAGAUUGUCCCUCCAGUUGACCAUACAUGAUUUGAGGUGAACAUGAGUUACAGUGACCAGAUUCAUUCUGCUCUAAUAAGACAAUUAUUCUACUGGAAUUACGGGCUCAACUCGCCAGUGAAUGACAGAGAGUUUCCACUGAGACCACCACAGUCACACACUUUUCCACCCAUAGAAUGAAGGGAUCCAAACAGCUAUCAAGAGAGGUUGAAAUGGUUAACUUUACUGUGUUGUUAUAGAAACUGUAUAUGAACACGUUACAGAGCUAAUCACCUCUCAGCAUGGAACCUGUCUGACUCCAGAAGCCAUGUGUGUGUGUG
RNAcentral lists this long non-coding RNA (1440 nucleotides) under Salmo salar (Atlantic salmon). RNAcentral's name for it is "lncRNA (ENSSSAG00000085857.1)". The record is from RNAcentral. Lineage: Eukaryota; Metazoa; Chordata; Actinopteri; Salmoniformes; Salmonidae.